Molecule: RNA transcript, 829 nt
Organism: Zea mays
Lineage: Eukaryota; Viridiplantae; Streptophyta; Magnoliopsida; Poales; Poaceae
Gene name: nitrate reductase pseudogene
Exons: 2
Source: RefSeq, marked validated
GGCCAACCGCGCGGCCUCCCCAUCCUCAACGCCUAGCCCCAAUGCACUGCACCCCCGCAUCAUCCACCCCCUCCCUCUCAUCAAGCCUUUUUCUCGACCGCGAUAGUGACGGCGACAAGCCGACAAGCACGACCCCCCUCUGCCUCGCCACGUGUGGCCUCCUCCACCGCCUGGUUUGGAGUUUUCCCAUCCUUGACGGCCCGGUUCGAACCCCGAUCAACUAUCCUCCAGAUCGGAUCAUGGCGACGACGCAAGAGCGAGAUGUGGCGCAGCCCUAACGACGGAGGAGGCGACGUGGAGUAACUAUGUGGUGGCGGAGCGCAAAGUCGACGAAGACUCUCUCUGCCGCCUUCUCACGGUUUGGCUAUCACAUGUCUAAAGUUGUAAGCCUCUCAAACAACCUUUUCCAAUCCUAGGCUACCGAACAAGGAGAAGAAGUGUUCUAGGCAAAAGUGUUCCAAUUGGAUUAAUUCUGGACUAGAAAGAGCGAAAGAGUCGGAUGCACUAAAUCUAGGCCUGAAACAGUUUCUGGCUUGGGACUGUUCCUAUGCUGCCGAACGGGGCCGAGCUGUUUCCAAAUAUAUAUUAUGUGUUGCUACUUUCUUCACAUAUCAUUACUUUAUGUGUUCUUCCUGGUUACAUUUGGCACCAUUGUUGGUAAGACGGUACCACCCACAGUUUUAUUGAGAAAGGCUUUUAAGAUGGUUGUAGUUGCACAAAUUGGAAAAUAAAACUACACUGACUUAAUUUUCCUUUUCUUCUUGUGCUUCACGAAGCUUUACGUUGAUGGAGUUUGUCCCCACCAAUGUCACUGUACCGCAUAAUGGGC